This 484-nucleotide ribosomal RNA is filed under the name uncultured bacterium. Its description in RNAcentral is "partial 16S ribosomal RNA". It matches the Rfam family "Bacterial small subunit ribosomal RNA", at positions 36 to 507 of the family's 1533-position model. The record is from RNAcentral.
CUUUCCCUCUGUCGGCAUGCCUUACACAUGCAAGUCGAACGGCAGCGCGGACUUCGGUCUGGCGGCGAGUGGCGAACGGGUGAGUAAUACAUCGGAACGUACCCUGUUGUGGGGGAUAACUAGUCGAAAGAUUAGCUAAUACCGCAUACGACCUGAGGGUGAAAGUGGGGGACCGCAAGGCCUCACGCAGCAGGAGCGGCCGAUGUCUGAUUAGCUAGUUGGUGGGGUAAAGGCCCACCAAGGCGACGAUCAGUAGCUAGUCUGAGAGGACGAUCAGCCACACUGGGACUGAGACACGGCCCAGACUCCUACGGGAGGCAGCAGUGGGGAAUUUUGGACAAUGGGGGCAACCCUGAUCCAGCAAUGCCGCGUGUGUGAAGAAGGCCUUCGGGUUGUAAAGCACUUUUGUCCGGAAAGAAAUCGCGCUGGUUAAUACCUGGCGUGGAUGACGGUACCGGAAGAAUAAGCACCGGCUAACUACGUG